Leptopilina heterotoma is the source of this 1052-nucleotide long non-coding RNA. RefSeq lists it as uncharacterized. The record is from RefSeq and is a predicted model, not a curated record. NCBI's taxonomy places the organism in Eukaryota, Metazoa, Arthropoda, Insecta, Hymenoptera, Figitidae. The transcript has 3 exons.
UAAUUUGAUUCGUCUCUUUACAAUCAUCAAUUAAUGUCCAUUAUUACAAGUCAAUAUAAUGGAUAUAGUUAUAUAUAUGUAUAAUACUAAACUAUUUUCAAUGAGAGAUUUCUACUAUAAAUUGUUCCAAUUCAUGUAUACCAAAUUACCCAUCUUCCAUCAAUUUCAUUAUUAAUUGCUAAUUAAAAAUUAAAAUCAAAAUAUGUAUUAGGUAUUUUGGAAGAAAAAUUGCUCAUCUUGGGAAAUUAGAAAUUUUUUACCAAUUUUGUUUGUUUUUUUUUUGAAAAAAAGUAAAUUUAGUCCAAAAAGGAAAAGAAGUUAUAAUUAAUGUGAAAAAAUAUUGUAAAUUUUAAUCUUGAGGCUAGAGUUGUUUUUUUAUACGAGCAGGGGAAAAAUCACAAGUUGUAAAGCAUCAGUUUCUUGGGAACCAUCUUGAGAAUUUUAUAAAGGUUUCUCUCGGAAUUAAAAAAUAUUCCCAAAGGUAAGAAAAUAUUUUCGAAACAAAAAAGAUGAACGGAAUUUACAGAAAAAAAAUUAAAAAUAAUAAUAAUAAAUUUUCUUUUUUCGUUUCAGGGUGAAAAAUAAUAAAUUUUUUAUAUCGAAGCACUGAAAUGGUAAAAGUUUGAACAAUAAAAUAAAUAUUCGAUAUUCUACAUUUUUCUAAGAGAUUAAUAUCGAAAUUAAUUCUUUCGGAAUUAAAAAAUAUUUUCAAAGAGACAGAAACUAAAAUUUUGAUUACGAAAGAAUAAAAUAAAUAUAAAUCCGAUUUACUACGAUUUUAUAAAAAUGACUGAUUCAUGAGCUGAAAAAAUGGUAUCGAAGUUAAUUCUCUUGUAAUUAACAAAUAUUUCCAGAGGGGCAAAACUACUAAAUUUUUUAUUUCGAAGCAACAAAAUCAAACACAGGAUUUCCACAGGUCAAGGAAGUGAGGGAAUUCAGGAAAAAGUCACGGAUUUUUAUUAAAAAUACUGGAAAAAUAUUAAAUUUUAAGAAUUCAUAACUAAAAAGAAAAAAAUUAACAAAAGAAUUUAAUUAUUUAAAGAAAAAAUUGA